This 402-nucleotide unclassified non-coding RNA is filed under the name soil metagenome. RNAcentral describes it as "partial contains 5.8S ribosomal RNA, internal transcribed spacer 2, and large subunit ribosomal RNA". The stretch from base 1 to 121 matches the Rfam family "5.8S ribosomal RNA", at positions 35 to 154 of the family's 154-position model. The record is from RNAcentral.
GAUGAAGAACGUAGCGAAAUGCGAUAAGUAAUGUGAAUUGCAGAAUUCAGUGAAUCAUCGAAUCUUUGAACGCACCUUGCGCCCUUUGGCUAUUCUGAAGGGCAUGCCUGUUUGAGUAUCGUGAACACCUCAACUCUCAUGGUCUGCCAUGAUGAGCUUGGACUUUGGGGGUCUUGCUGGCCUACUGUCAGCUCCUCUCAAAUGAAUCAGCUUACCAGUGUUUGGUGGCACCACAGGUGUGAUAACUAUCUACGCUUGUGGUUUUCUGCCAGGUAACCUCCAGUGAUGGAGGUUCGCUGGAGCUCACAACUGUCUCUCCUCAGCGAGGACAGCUUUUUGAACGUUUGAUCUCAAAUCAGGUAGGACUACCCGCUGAACUUAAGCAUAUCAAUAAGCGGAGGA